AUGGACACUGCUACAGUGAUCGAGUGUUUCAGGAACAAGAGCAUCCUAAUCACCGGCUCGACAGGCUUCGUCGGGAAAAUGCUGGUGGAGAAGAUACUGAGGGUUCAGCCGGAUGUGAAGAAGCUCUACCUCCUCGUACGCUCAUCUCUAUCACAAUGUUGGAUCCCUCUCAAAGCUUUCGUAGAUCUCGAAAAAAAACUCUUUGAUGUUCUGAGGGACGAUCAUAGGGCUAAUUUCAACUCCUUCAUCCAAGCUAAAAUUUCUCCUCUACCUGGAGACAUUGUGCACGACAACUUUGCACUUAACAGCUCUACCAUUGAACGCCUCUCCCAGGAGAUUGAUGUCAUUGUCAGUGUGGCUGCCUUCUAUGAGAUGGUGCAUAGGUACGAUAACGCUUUGGCAUCAAAUUCCCUAGGGGUUGCCAACAUGUGCCAAUUUGCAAACAAGUGUGCUAAUCUCAAAAUGCUCCUUCGUGUUUCCACUGCCUUUGUAGUUGGGGAGCAAGAAGGCCUGAUACUAGAGAAGCCAUUCAAUACAGGAGAAAAGCUGAGGGGUUACCAUUUUAACAUUCAAUCUGAGCUCAAAUUAGUUGAUAGUGUUAAGUCAAAACUCAGGAUACAAUCGUCCACCGAUAAACUUGUAAAGAAGACAAUGAAGGAACUUGGAUUAAAAAGGGCUAGGCACUUUGGUUGGCCUAACGUAUAUUCACUAACAAAGGCUAAGGGGGAGAUGUUACUUGGAGACUUGGGACGGGACCUUCCUGUUGUCAUAGUGCGCCCAAGUAUCAUAACAAGCACUUUCCAGGAUCCAAUGCCGGGAUGGACAGAAGGAACUAGGACAAUUGAUAUGCUGUAUGUUGCCUAUAAUGACCAAAAGCUUCCAUGCUUCAUCGCAGAUCCUAUUGUCCUAUUCGAUCUGAUACCGGGAGAUAUGGUGAUUAAUGCAAUGAUGGUUGCCAUGGCUAGUCACUGGGAUCAGCAAGGAACUCAAGUGAUUUACCAUGUGGUCUCCGGUAAUCGUAACCCACUACGAGGUUCUGUUACGGUGGAAUCAAUGUAUCAAUACUUUAGUGAAAAUCCCCGCGUAACCAAGGAUGGGAAAAUCGUCAAGAAUAAAAGGGUUCUUACUUUCAAAAUUUUUGCAAACUUUCAUCUAUACAUGAUUGUACGGUAUAAGUUACCUCUAGAGAUGUUGCAUGCGGUUAAUGUAUUUGGGGGUAUGUUAUCUCAGCGUUACAAGAAACUCAGCCGAGGCUACAGUUUCUUAAUACCUGUUGCAAUGUUGUAUGUUCCUUAUGUAUUCUUCAAAGGGCGCUUUGACGACACAAAUAUGAGUAAGCUGUGGGCGGGAACUGCUGCAGGCCAGAAUGACGAUUCCUUGGUAAGUUGUGAUCCUGCGUGCAUCAACUGGGUCUUAUACCUCGUGAACACACACAUCCCUGCUGUUUUGGAGUAUGCUAAGAAUAAUAACCAGAUGAAGCAAGCAGGCAACAGUGCAUAA
Molecule: ribosomal RNA, 1500 nt
Filed under: Triticum aestivum (bread wheat)
Lineage: Eukaryota; Viridiplantae; Streptophyta; Magnoliopsida; Poales; Poaceae
Description: partial small subunit ribosomal RNA
Source: RNAcentral